This 244-nucleotide ribosomal RNA is filed under the name uncultured bacterium. RNAcentral describes it as "partial 16S ribosomal RNA". It matches the Rfam family "Bacterial small subunit ribosomal RNA", at positions 118 to 347 of the family's 1533-position model. The record is from RNAcentral.
UGGGUAACCUGCCUCAAAGAGGGGAAUAGCCUCCCGAAAGGGAGAUUAAUACCGCAUAAUAUGUUUAAGUCGCAUGACUUUAACAUCAAAGGAUUUUUCUUUUAAGAAAUUCCACUUUGAGAUGGACCCGCGGCGCAUUAGCUAGUUGGUGAGGUAACGGCUCACCAAGGCAACGAUGCGUAGCCGACCUGAGAGGGUGAGUCCGGCCACAUUGGAACUGAGACACGGUCAGACUCCGUAGGAG